Molecule: ribosomal RNA, 152 nt
Filed under: Nicotiana attenuata
Lineage: Eukaryota; Viridiplantae; Streptophyta; Magnoliopsida; Solanales; Solanaceae
Description: rRNA SSU_rRNA_eukarya
Rfam family: Bacterial small subunit ribosomal RNA
Source: RNAcentral
GUGCAUGGUUGUCGUCAGCUCGUGCCGUAAGGUGUUGGGUUAAGUCCCGCAACGAGCGCAACCCUCGUGUUUAGUUGCCAUUGUUGAGUUUUGAACCUUGAACAGACUGCUGGUGAUAAGCCGGAGGAAGGUGAGGAUGACGUACAAUUUGC